This 839-nucleotide unclassified non-coding RNA is filed under the name Zea mays. RNAcentral's name for it is "misc RNA Zm00001eb103620". Lineage: Eukaryota; Viridiplantae; Streptophyta; Magnoliopsida; Poales; Poaceae. The record is from RNAcentral.
GCCGUCUUUUCCGGCUCCGGCCAACAUCAGCCAAUGCGGUCCUUCUACCGGUGCAAGGGCUCCGCAGCUAGGCCGCCAUCCUACUGCCGACACGCUGGUGCCGCCGGCCAUAGGGCCACAGACUUUACAGCCGGAGAACCAACCCCGCAGGACGACCAUGCCCGGGAGCUGGGCCUGGGCGCCUCCCGUGCAGCAACCUGGUGGACAGACAAGAUGGGCCUGGGCGCCUCCAGCGCAGCGCCCUGGUAUACCGGCGACGGCGUCUCCAGCAGCUGGCGGCUCGCCCCAGGCGCAGCCGCCGCGGGUGCCGGGCGACAAGAGCUUCGAGGAGUUCCUCCUGGAGGCCGGCGUCCUCGACCAGUGGACCCUCGACAAAAUCUUUCUCGACGGUCUCGUUGAAGAGAUGGUGGGAGAUGGACGGGCGAGUUUGGGCCCAGUGGAGGGGAUGGCUCUGCAGGCCUCUGGGGCGGCUUCCUCCUCUGUGCCGAGCAGGCAUCAGGUUCGCCUGCCCGCCCAGGACCAGGAGGCACUCGGCGCUGGCGACCAAGCGGCGGCGGUCGAGGCCAGGGAGCGGAGGAGCAGGAGGAUGGCCAAGCGAAAGGAGGCCGCUGCUAGACAUCAUCGUCCCGAGAAACAUGCAGCUCCUCGUGGAAGCCAAAAUGGAUCAGGAGCUAUCUGAUUCGUCAAGGAGCUGAAUUCUUCGCCUAUGCCUGCCGUCGCCUGUUGUCUACUGGCAACAAGAUUCAGAAUAAUUUAUGUUUUUAUAGUUUGUAGUGCUCCAUCCGUUCAAAUUUUAGGUUUAUUCUUGAACAAUCUUUUUCACUCUAACCAUUUUGAAG